UAUUUGUGUACACUUAACUAAAAAAGAAAAUCUGUUAGUUGUACCUUUUGUAUCAGGGGGGUUUAAAAAUUUCUCUACUAGGGACUCGAUUGAAGUAGAUCUUCUUUUUUUGCUUUGGUUGUAAUCAAAGUUAAAAAACUUUAAGAGGUGAAAAAUGUUCGGUGUUUCUUGUAUCUAGUUACUUUAAAGUUGAAGGGGUAAGCUCUUUAUUUUUUAUGCCGUAAAGUUAGUAGAGAGAGCUAGGCUCUAGAUUAGCCAUGCUAGUAUUUUGUUAAAAAUAGUCACCUCAAACAUACAGAAAUAAAAUUAACAAGGUGCGUAAGUGAGCUAAACCUUACACUAAUAAUGAAUUUAUUGCAUAAAGGAAGGAGUAAGAAAAUAACUCAACCCCAGUCAGAAAGUUUAGCAAAAACAUUUCUGCUUGAAUAGUAAGAAGUAAGACCUGCCCGGUGGAUCCUCAACGGCUGCGGUACUUUGACCGUGCAAAGGUAGCAUAAUCACUUGCUUCUUAAUUGGCGGCUGGAAUGAAAGGUUAAACUGACCGAGCUAGUUUGUAUUUCUAGAUAGAACAUUUAAGUCAAGGUAAAAAUUCUUUGAUACCCUAGGGGACGAUAAGACCCUAGAAGCUUGAUAGUGAGUUAAGGCUUUAGUUUUACCGGUAACUUUAGUUUACUGGGGCGGUGACGGUGCCUAAACCACUUAGACCUUAGCUGAUCCCCUUCAUAGGGAUAGAUUGGUGUAGUUACUCUAGGGAUAACAGUGCUAUAUUUUUGGAGAGAUCAUAUCGAUAAGUAUGCU
Molecule: ribosomal RNA, 798 nt
Filed under: Crypturopus tuberculatus
Lineage: Eukaryota; Metazoa; Arthropoda; Malacostraca; Amphipoda; Micruropodidae
Description: partial 16S ribosomal RNA
Source: RNAcentral